Molecule: ribosomal RNA, 481 nt
Filed under: uncultured bacterium
Lineage: Bacteria
Description: partial 16S ribosomal RNA
Rfam family: Bacterial small subunit ribosomal RNA
Source: RNAcentral
GACGAACGCUGGCGGCGUGCUUAACACAUGCAAGUCGAGCGAUGACUUUUCUUCGAAAAUGGAUUAGCGGCGAACGGGUGAGGAACACGUGAAGAAUCUGCCCUCCACUUUGGGAUAACACAGGGAAACCUGUGCUAAUACCGAAUAUUGAAACAUAAGUGGCAUCACUGAGUUUUGAAAGAAUUUCGGUGGAGGAUGACUUCGCGGCCUAUCAGCUAGUUGGUGAGGUAAUGGCUCACCAAGGCAACGACGGGUAGCCGGCCUGAGAGGGCGACCGGCCACACUGGGACUGAGACACGGCCCAGACUCCUACGGGAGGCAGCAGUGGGGAAUAUUGGGCAAUGGAGGAAACUCUGACCCAGCGACGCCGCGUGCGGGAUGAAGGCCUUCGGGUUGUAAACCGCUUUCAGUAGGGAAGAAGCGAAAGUGACGGUACCUACAAAAGAAGCACCGGCUAACUAUGUGCCAGCCGCCGCUGUAA